RNAcentral lists this small nuclear RNA (104 nucleotides) under Myotis davidii. The record is from RNAcentral. Lineage: Eukaryota; Metazoa; Chordata; Mammalia; Chiroptera; Vespertilionidae.
GUGCUUGCUUCAGCAGCACAUAUACUAAUACUGGAACAAUACAGUGAUUAGCAUGACGCCUGUGCAAGGAUGACCUGCAAAUUCAUGAAGCAUUCCAUAUUUAA